This 356-nucleotide ribosomal RNA is filed under the name uncultured bacterium. Its description in RNAcentral is "partial 16S ribosomal RNA". It matches the Rfam family "Bacterial small subunit ribosomal RNA", at positions 338 to 691 of the family's 1533-position model. The record is from RNAcentral.
CCUACGGGAGGCAGCAGUGAGGAAUAUUGGUCAAUGGGCUUACGCCUGAACCAGCCAAGUCGCGUGAGGGAAGACUGCCCUAUGGGUUGUAAACCUCUUUUGUCAGGGAGCAAUUGGCGCUACGUGUAGCGUUAUCGAGAGUACCUGAAGAAAAAGCAUCGGCUAACUCCGUGCCAGCAGCCGCGGUAUUACGGAGGAUGCGAGCGUUAUCCGGAUUUCUUGGGUUAAAAGGGGUCGUAGGGGGACUGCCAGGUCAGCGGGAAAGUCGCGGGGCGCAACCUCGCUCCGCCGUUGAAACUGGCGUUGUGGGGUGCGCGAGAGGUAUGCGGAAUGCGUGGGGUAGCGGUGAAAUGCAU